Molecule: transfer RNA, 76 nt
Filed under: Candidatus Fimivivens faecavium
Lineage: Bacteria; Bacillati; Bacillota; Clostridia; Eubacteriales; Oscillospiraceae
Description: tRNA-Thr
Rfam family: tRNA
About the family: Transfer RNA (tRNA) molecules are approximately 80 nucleotides in length. Their secondary structure includes four short double-helical elements and three loops (D, anti-codon, and T loops).
Source: RNAcentral
GCUGUUGUGGCUCAGUUGGCAGAGCACGUCCUUGGUAAGGACGAGGUCGUCAGUUCGAAUCUGAUCAACAGCUCCA